GUAAACCUGGGACUAUCACCAUAAAUAUUUCUGUUUGUUUAAGUUAAAGAAUGGAUGUGAUACACUUUAUGAAAACACACCAGUGACUGCAGGCAGUUUAAAAUGGUCUUAUGAGUUACAAGAGGCUUCUCAGGCAUGGAACACAUUUUCAGCACAUCAAUUCUCUAGUUUUGCGGAUGGGGAAACAAAUUGUGUUUUGCAAAAAUACGAAUAUUGGAAUAAAUGUAUUAAUAUAAUGAAGAAAUGGACCUCUGCUAUACACGGGAUCUACACCUUCUCUGUGCCUCAGACCUCGGUGUAAUAAUUCUCUGGAAUUUGGAUGGUAUGAGGACAAUCAGUAUUUGCUCCAGGCAGAUCCUCUUUCUGAUGAAUGGAAACUCUACACUGAAUACGUACACUACAUGAUUGUAGAUGGACUGUUCAA
This is a long non-coding RNA of Pipra filicauda (Wire-tailed manakin), 424 nucleotides long. RefSeq lists it as uncharacterized. NCBI's taxonomy places the organism in Eukaryota, Metazoa, Chordata, Aves, Passeriformes, Pipridae. The transcript has 3 exons. The record is from RefSeq and is a predicted model, not a curated record.